GCCCUUGUGUUGAGCUAACGAGCCCCCUUGUUUGCUGAACUCCUUCCAACCAACACUAAACAAACCCCGCACCCACCGGCUCGAAUAUAUCAUCCCCCAUGCGGAAGCGGAAGGGGUUCAAUAUAGGCUACUCCUAUAACAAUUCCCACCGGUUUGGAAGACUAAACCCACGUCUGGAAUAGCUUGAGGUAGAGACCGGCACGA
RNAcentral lists this ribosomal RNA (204 nucleotides) under Triticum aestivum (bread wheat). RNAcentral's name for it is "partial small subunit ribosomal RNA". Lineage: Eukaryota; Viridiplantae; Streptophyta; Magnoliopsida; Poales; Poaceae. The record is from RNAcentral.